GAUGAACGCUAGCGGCAGGCUUAAUACAUGCAAGUCGAGGGGCAGCGCGGGUAGCAAUACCUGGCGGCGACCGGCAAACGGGUGCGGAACACGUACGCAACCUUCCCGAAACUGGUGAAUAGCCCUUCGAAAGGAGGAUUAAUACACCAUAACAUAAUGAAGUGGCAUCAUUUUAUUAUUAUAGCUCCGGCGGCUUUGGAUGGGCGUGCGACUGAUUAGGUAGUUGGCGGGGUAACGGCCCCCCCAGCCUGCGAUCAGUAACUGGUGUGAGAGCACGACCAGUCACACGGGCACUGAGACACGGGCCCGACUCCUACGGGAGGCAGCAGUAAGGAAUAUUGGUCAAUGGACGAAAGUUUGAACCAGCCAUGCCGCGUGAAGGAUGAAGGUCCUUUGGAUUGUAAACUUUUUUUAUUUGGGACGAAAAAAGGUCAUUCCUGACCACUUGACGGUACCAGAGGAAUAAGCACCGGCUAACUCCGUG
Molecule: ribosomal RNA, 484 nt
Filed under: uncultured bacterium
Lineage: Bacteria
Description: bacterial SSU rRNA
Rfam family: Bacterial small subunit ribosomal RNA
Source: RNAcentral